This is a small nucleolar RNA of Monodelphis domestica (gray short-tailed opossum), 136 nucleotides long. NCBI's taxonomy places the organism in Eukaryota, Metazoa, Chordata, Mammalia, Didelphimorphia, Didelphidae. The record is from Ensembl.
GCAUGGUUUUGGAUUUAUGAAUGUCCUUUUUCCGUGGACUUUUCAUAGUGAAUUCCAUGCCAGAAAAAUCGACCACCCUGAACCAUUGCCAGACCUUUAUUUAUAAGUCUUGAGCACUGACAUGGGUGGUACAGUG